CACGCCGUGUCCGAAAUGGUCAGGUGCGAGGUUGCAACCCUCGUGAUGCGGGUUCGAGUCCCGCCGGCGUGUCCA
RNAcentral lists this transfer RNA (75 nucleotides) under Rhodospirillaceae bacterium. RNAcentral's name for it is "tRNA-Cys". It matches the Rfam family "tRNA". From Rfam's summary of the family: Transfer RNA (tRNA) molecules are approximately 80 nucleotides in length. Lineage: Bacteria; Pseudomonadati; Pseudomonadota; Alphaproteobacteria; Rhodospirillales; Rhodospirillaceae. The record is from RNAcentral.